This 831-nucleotide ribosomal RNA is filed under the name Nosema sp. 'vespula'. RNAcentral describes it as "bacterial SSU rRNA". It matches the Rfam family "Microsporidia small subunit ribosomal RNA", at positions 402 to 1299 of the family's 1311-position model. Lineage: Eukaryota; Fungi; Microsporidia; Nosematidae. The record is from RNAcentral.
GCGGUAAUUCCAGCUCCAAUAGCGUGUAUGAUGAUUGAUGCAGUUAAAAAGUCCGUAGUUUAUAUUUAAGAAGCAAUAUGAGGUGUACUGUAUAGUUGGGAGAAAGAUGAAAUGUAACGACCCUGACUGGACGAACAGAAGCGAAAGCUGUACACUUGUAUGUAUUUUUUGAACAAGGACGUAAGCUGGAGGAGCGAAGAUGAUUAGAUACCAUUGUAGUUCCAGCAGUAAACUAUGCCGACGAUGUGAUAUGAUAUAUUUUGUAUUACAUAAUAGAAAUUAGAGUUUUUUGGCACUGGGGAUAGUAUGAUCGCAAGAUUGAAAAUUAAAGAAAUUGACGGAAGAAUACCACAAGGAGUGGAUUGUGCGGCUUAAUUUGACUCAACACGGGGUAACUUACCAAUAUUUUAUUAUUUGAGACGAUUUUUAAUCAGAGAAUGAUAAUAGUGGUGCAUGGCCGUUUUCAAUGGAUGCUGUGAAGUUUUGAUUAAUUUCAACAAGACGUGAGACCCUUUUAUUUAUAGACAGACACAAUCAGUGUAGGAAGGAAAGGAUUAAAACAGGUCCGUUAUGCCCUCAGACAUUUUGGGCUGCACGCGCAAUACAAUAGAUAUAUAAUCUUUAUGGGAUAAUAUUUUGUAAGAGAUAUUUGAACUUGGAAUUGCUAGUAAAUUUUAUUAAAUAAGUAGAAUUGAAUGUGUCCCUGUUCUUUGUACACACCGCCCGUCGCUAUCUAAGAUGAUAUAUGUUGUGAAAUUAGUGAAAACUACUUGAACAAUAUGUAUUAGAUCUGAUAUAAGUCGUAACAUGGUUUCCGUAGGUGAACCUGCG